Drosophila melanogaster (fruit fly) is the source of this 374-nucleotide non-coding RNA. The record is from Ensembl. NCBI's taxonomy places the organism in Eukaryota, Metazoa, Arthropoda, Insecta, Diptera, Drosophilidae.
GCCAGCCACAAAUGACGGCUUAAUCUUGAGUCCUCGGUGACCUGCUGGGCGCCUCGUAAAUUGUUAAAUGUGGCAUGCAUAAUUGCAACUAGAAAACGUCAGCUUAUCAAAAUAUAAAAAAAAGAGCAGCGGACACGCCCCGCGGAGUUGGCAGAUCGGCGAUCUAUAAACCUCAGUCAGACAAAACAUUUUCGAAUCUCGGACAGCUGCAACACCCAAAAACCUCAUCGAGGGCAUUACAAGCUCAUCAAAAACUCGGGCGCAGCCUCAUCAUCAUCAUCGGAUCCUUUCCUCCCUCCCUCGAUUGUCAUUCAAAUGAACCCGUUUCACGUCAGCCCAUUGCUCCUGAUAUUUUUUGUGACAUUUUCCGUAUU